This 325-nucleotide RNase P RNA is filed under the name Sphaerochaeta sp. RNAcentral describes it as "RNase P RNA component class A". It matches the Rfam family "Bacterial RNase P class A". From Rfam's summary of the family: Ribonuclease P (RNase P) is a ubiquitous endoribonuclease, found in archaea, bacteria and eukarya as well as chloroplasts and mitochondria. Its best characterised activity is the generation of mature 5'-ends of tRNAs by cleaving the 5'-leader elements of precursor-tRNAs. The record is from RNAcentral. Lineage: Bacteria; Pseudomonadati; Spirochaetota; Spirochaetia; Spirochaetales; Sphaerochaetaceae.
UUGGUGGUCCACACGGUCGCCGGUGCAGGCAAGCCUGGCAUCGGAGGAAAGUCCGGGCUCCACAGAACAUGACGCCGGGUAACACCCGGGAGCCGUGAGGCUAUAGAAAGUGCCACAGAAAAUAUACCGNNGAAAUGGUGGGGUAAGAGCCCACCGCGAACCUGGUAACAGGGACGGCAUGGUAAACCUCGUCAGGAGCAAGACCAAGCAGCAGGUGGGUUGUUCGUCCAUGAGCCUGCGGGUAGGUCGCACGAGCAUUUCGGUAACGGAAUGCCUAGAUAGAUGGCCGUAGUAGACAGAACCCGGCUUAUGGUCCACCAAAUUU